RNAcentral lists this ribosomal RNA (490 nucleotides) under uncultured bacterium. RNAcentral describes it as "partial 16S ribosomal RNA". It matches the Rfam family "Bacterial small subunit ribosomal RNA", at positions 30 to 507 of the family's 1533-position model. The record is from RNAcentral.
AUUGAACGCUGGCGGCAGGCCUAACACAUGCAAGUCGAACGGUAACAGGAAGAAGCUUGCUUCUUUGCUGACGCGUGGCGGACGGGUGAGUAAUGUCUGGGAAACUGCUUGAUGGAGGGGGAUACCUACUGGAAACGGUAGCUAAUACCGCAUAACGUCGCAAGACCAAAGAGGGGGACCUUCGGGCCGCUUGCCAUCGGAUGUGCCCAGAUGGGAUUAGCUAGUAGGUGGGGUAACGGCUCACCUAGGCGACGAUCCCUAGCUGGUCUGAGAGGAUGACCAGCCACACUGGAACUGAGACACGGUCCAGACUCCUACGGGAGGCAGCAGUGGGGAAUAUUGCACAAUGGGCGCAAGCCUGAUGCAGCCAUGCCGCGUGUAUGAAGAAGGCCUUCGGGUUGUAAAGUACUGUCAGCGGGGAGGAAGAGAGUAAAGUGAAUACCUUCACUCAUUGACGGUACCCGCAGAAGAAGCACCGGCUAACUCCGUG